GCCCAAAGGUGAAUUUUUUGGG
Molecule: microRNA, 22 nt
Filed under: Dasypus novemcinctus (nine-banded armadillo)
Lineage: Eukaryota; Metazoa; Chordata; Mammalia; Cingulata; Dasypodidae
Also listed under: 11 other names
Description: dno-miR-186-3p
Gene: dno-miR-186-3p
Source: miRBase by way of RNAcentral